Molecule: long non-coding RNA, 945 nt
Filed under: Coccomyxa subellipsoidea
Lineage: Eukaryota; Viridiplantae; Chlorophyta; Trebouxiophyceae; Coccomyxaceae
Description: long non-coding RNA (CSUB_LNC000687)
Source: RNAcentral
GUGAUUGCUGCAAAGGCAGUGCUUCUGCCCCUGGCAAGAGUCCUGGACAAUAUGUUCUGGGGACAUCCUGUGCUCCUUCUGUAUUUUGUAAUGAUCAUGUGCCCUCUUGUCAUGAAUAUCAUCCAGGUGCGCAUUGCUUCGUUGUUCCCCAUCAAAUUCUUGCAUGCAUUCUCCCACAAGCAACAUUUGUCAUGGCUUUGCAAGCUAGUGUAGAGGUAACAGCGAUGCAGAAGACACAUGUUGUGCCUGUACAGGCCUUGGUGCAGGAUGCUGUACUCAAGUUCAGGAGGAAACACAGCGAUGCGCCAAGCGAAAGCCCAGGUGCAUCACCAGGGGAUUCUGGCCGGAAGAGAGCUGACAAAGAGCAAGUGCGGUUGCUUGCAUCGCAACCUGAGUUCUCGGAUGGUAUUCCACUGAAAGAGAAUCAUACGACCCUGCUGGGUCGCCCAGCUUUACAGGAGAGGCAUUCUUUGGUCUAGACAGUCCAUGCAUCCCAAGGCUGAAAUGCCCUGGCCGUUUCUGAGCAGAAUUUGGCAUCGCCCACCCCUUGUACGGGUUGAGUUAUUCUUUAGUUGGAGUUAAGUAAUUCUGGUUGCCAGGUAUGUGCUAAUCAGUACGUCAGACAAAUUCAGCAAUGGGUUGUUUCGACCUAGGUAUUUCAACAGAGUUCAGUGCUGCUGAUUGCUGUCAGGUGCAAUCGCAGCCAUCCGGCCAUCAGAAUGAGGUGUUUCAUCUCUGACUGCUAUGUUUACGUUACACAACCUUUGCCCUUGAAGGAGAGGAUUAUAAUUGUCUCCUUGAGGGUCUGUUGAAGCAAGACAUGAGAUCUGAGGGCUGGCAAUCUUCCUGACAGUGCUUGAAAAGGUACUCAAAGGUAGAAGCCCGCACGGUGCUUGCAUCCAUUGAUCACUAACCACGCUAGUAUAGCAGACUCAUUGGAUGGGC